Molecule: ribosomal RNA, 366 nt
Filed under: uncultured eukaryote
Lineage: Eukaryota
Description: partial 18S ribosomal RNA
Rfam family: Eukaryotic small subunit ribosomal RNA
Source: RNAcentral
CAAUAGCGUAUAUUAACGUUGUUGCAGUUAACAAGCUCGUAGUUGGAUUUCUGGAGGGAGCGUCGGCCCGUAUUUACGAGUGCGUGACGUCUCUGUCCAUCCUUGCGGGAAGGCACGGCAUUGAUUUGUUGUGUCGGAUCGCAUCAUUUACUGUGAAAAAAUUAGAGUGUUCAAAGCAGGCUUUCGCUUGAAUACAUUAGCAUGGAAUAAUAAGAUAGGACUUUGGUGCUAUUUUGUUGGUUGAGCCUAAAGUAAUGAUUAAUAGGGAUAGUUGGGGGCACCUGUAUUGCGUUGUCAGAGGUGAAAUUCUUGGAUUUACGCAAGACAAACAGCUGCGAAAGCGUCUGCCAAGGAUGUUUUCAUUAA